RNAcentral lists this ribosomal RNA (253 nucleotides) under uncultured bacterium. RNAcentral describes it as "partial 16S ribosomal RNA". It matches the Rfam family "Bacterial small subunit ribosomal RNA", at positions 524 to 776 of the family's 1533-position model. The record is from RNAcentral.
UACGGAGGGUGCGAGCGUUAAUCGGAAUUACUGGGCGUAAAGCGCGCGUAGGCGGUCUGAUCAGCCGGUUGUGAAAGCCCCGGGCUCAACCUGGGAACGGCAUCCGGAACUGUCAGGCUAGAGUGCAGGAGAGGAAGGUAGAAUUCCCGGUGUAGCGGUGAAAUGCGUAGAGAUCGGGAGGAAUACCAGUGGCGAAGGCGGCCUUCUGGACUGACACUGACGCUGAGGUGCGAAAGCGUGGGUAGCAAACAGG